ACAUCCAGAGAAUUUAGCAGAGAUGCUUUAGUGCCUUCGGGAACUCUGAGACAGGUGCUGCAUGGCUGUCGUCAGCUCGUGUUGUGAAAUGUUGGGUUAAGUCCCGNAACGAGCGCAACCCUUAUCCUUUGUUGCCAGCACGUAAUGGUGGGAACUCAAAGGAGACUGCCGGUGAUAAACCGGAGGAAGGUGGGGAUGACGUCAAGUCAUCAUGGCCCUUACGAAUAGGGCUACACACGUGCUACAAUGGCGCAUACAAAGAGAAGCGACCUCGCGAGAGCAAGCGGACCUCAUAAAGUGCGUCGUAGUCCGGAUUGGAGUCUGCAACUCGACUCCAUGAAGUCGGAAUCGCUAGUAAUCGUAAAUCAGAAUGUUACGGUGAAUACGUUCCCGGGCCUUGUACACACCGCCCGUCACACCAUGGGAGUGGGUUGCAAAAGAAGUAGAUAGCUUAACCUUCGGGAGGGCGUUUACCACUUUGUGAUUCAUGACUGGGGUGAAGUCGUAACAAGGUAGGCGUAGUGCU
RNAcentral lists this ribosomal RNA (526 nucleotides) under uncultured bacterium. Its description in RNAcentral is "bacterial SSU rRNA". It matches the Rfam family "Bacterial small subunit ribosomal RNA", at positions 984 to 1509 of the family's 1533-position model. The record is from RNAcentral.